CUACGGGGCGCACCAGUUAGGAAUAAUCUGCAAUGCGCGAAAGCGUGACAGUUUGAGCCAGAGUGCUUCUCAAUUUGGGAAGCUUUUCUUUACUGUAAAAAGGUAGAGGAAUAAGGACUGGGCAAGACUAGUGCCAGCCGCCGCGGUAAUACUAGCUGUCCAAGUCGCAGCCAUCUUUAUUGGGUCUAAAAUAUCCGUAGCUUGCUUGGUAAGUUCCUUGUGAAAUCCUAUGUCUAAAGCAUGGGGCGUGCAGGGAGUACUGCCAGGCUAGAGACUGGAAGACGUAGGAAGUACGAUAGAAGUAGCGGUUAAAUGCGUUGAUCUUUAUCGGACUAACAACAGCGAAGGCAUCCUACGAGGACAGUUCUGACAGUGAGGGAUGAAAGCUAGGGGCGCAAAUUGGAUUAGAUACCCCAGUAGUC
Molecule: ribosomal RNA, 422 nt
Filed under: uncultured archaeon
Lineage: Archaea
Description: partial 16S ribosomal RNA
Rfam family: Archaeal small subunit ribosomal RNA
Source: RNAcentral